UACGAAGGGGGCUAGCGUUGCUCGGAAUCACUGGGCGUAAAGGGUGCGUAGGCGGGGCUUUAAGUCAGAGGGGAAAGCCUGGAGCUCAACUCCAGAACUGCCUUUGAUACUGAGGAUCUCGAGUUCGGGAGAGGUGAGUGGAACUGCGAGUGUAGAGGUGAAAUUCGUAGAUAUUCGCAAGAACACCAGUGGCGAAGGCGGCUCACUGGCCCGAUACUGACGCUGAGGCACGAAAGCGUGGGGAGCAAACAGG
This 253-nucleotide ribosomal RNA is filed under the name uncultured bacterium. Its description in RNAcentral is "partial 16S ribosomal RNA". It matches the Rfam family "Bacterial small subunit ribosomal RNA", at positions 524 to 776 of the family's 1533-position model. The record is from RNAcentral.